CCCAAAUAGGCUGGGCCUCCACCUCCGAAGAGUCAUCCCUGGGCCAGACACGAGCCAAGGCAAGAGUGAUGGUGGGUAGAAUUCCUCCCUGCACUGGAGAACAAUGAGCCCCAGAGAGGAGUCUUUCUGAGAAGCAGAGAAGGGAUGGUGAUCUGCUCCCAGAACUGAGCUUCCCAACAGACAGAAGACAGAGAUUCCCCAGGCUGGAGACAUUUUCUCAAGACGUGGGGAUAGGAGAAAAGGCCAGCCAGCCUCUAGCCACAGGCCUCCAAGCUGCAGAGAGCCAACGCCAACAGCACCAGGUGCUUUCCUUCCUCCUCAGCCUUCUGUGCCCUGCCAGGAGGGCAGAGGUGGUGCUGGGUCUGCUGAAUGAGCCAGCACUGCUAUGAGACCCUGUCGCAAGCCCAGAGGACUAAGAAAUCGAGCAUGGAGGUUAA
This is a long non-coding RNA of Psammomys obesus (fat sand rat), 437 nucleotides long. RefSeq lists it as uncharacterized. The transcript has 4 exons. NCBI's taxonomy places the organism in Eukaryota, Metazoa, Chordata, Mammalia, Rodentia, Muridae. The record is from RefSeq and is a predicted model, not a curated record.